Molecule: non-coding RNA, 29 nt
Filed under: Homo sapiens (human)
Lineage: Eukaryota; Metazoa; Chordata; Mammalia; Primates; Hominidae
Source: RNAcentral
UCCCUGCCAAAGAGCCACCUGGAGCCAAG